Oryzias melastigma (Indian medaka) is the source of this 858-nucleotide long non-coding RNA. RefSeq lists it as uncharacterized. The record is from RefSeq and is a predicted model, not a curated record. NCBI's taxonomy places the organism in Eukaryota, Metazoa, Chordata, Actinopteri, Beloniformes, Adrianichthyidae. The transcript has 3 exons.
UAAGUACCCCUCUAUCAACUGUCUUUUAGUUACCUGAGUUGUUUUUAUCAAUAGCACCAGUGCUGUUUUUAUUGCAUGCUCUUAUUUAUUUUUUUAUCUAGUUUUUAGUGGUUUUAUUUAAGCUUGGUGCUUUUUAGAUUCCAAACUCAGUAGUUUUUAUCUUUGCUUGACAGAGGCUCCUGGCUCCAACAGACUGAAGACGGCUCCCCUUGCUGGACUUAAUAAACUGCCUCUUAACCCUCUUCUUAAAACUGUUGUCCCGGGUCCUCUGUCUCCACACACCUCCAGAUCCAAAAUCAAAGGGAACCUGCACCUGCUCUUUACAUUAGCAGCAUUGAAUAUUUGGAGUGAAUUAUACUUAAUCUGUCUACAGGUCAACCUUGGUGUUUUUGAGGCUUUGGGAGUGAAACACUACAUAACAUCAGCCUACCAUCCCCAGGCCAACGGACAGGAUGAGCGCACCAAUCGGAACAUAAAAACGGCUCUUGCAAAAUACCGUGGGGAGGACAAAAACGACUGGGACAUUUAUUUAAGGGGAAUAGUGGCGGCAUAAACACAUCUAAGCAGAUCAACCAAAUACACACCAUAUUGCGCCUUGUUUGGAAGACACCCUCGCACAGCAGGUGGGAUAAAUGCUACACAAGAAGAGGGCAAUGACAAAGGUGUUGUUGUGCAAGAGGAGACGGAAGAACACCUGGAGGCCAAGAUUGCAGAAGUGGUUGAUUUGCAUGCAAAGAUUUGCCAGAACAUAACACAUGCACAGGAGAGACAAAAGAGGGAAUAUGAGACAAGAAAAAAGCGGAACGUGAAAUCCUUUGUCUUCAAAGUUGGUGAUGAGGUCCUUAAAGCUAACAAAAG